GAGUUUGAUCCUGGCUCAGGAUGAACGCUGGCGGCGUGCCUAAUACAUGCAAGUCGAACGCUAACCUUCGGGUUAGAGUGGCGAACGGGUGAGUAACACGUAGGUAACCUGCCCAUAAGACGAGGAUAACUACUGGAAACGGUAGCUAAUACUGGAUAGUAUAUAGAAUCGCAUGAUUUUAUAUUUAAAGAUGCGUUUGCAUCACUUAUGGAUGGACCUGCGGCGCAUUAGCUAGUUGGUGAGAUAACGGCCCACCAAGGCGACGAUGCGUAGCCGGACUGAGAGGUCGAACGGCCACAUUGGGACUGAGACACGGCCCAGACUCCUACGGGAGGCAGCAGUAGGGAAUUUUCGGCAAUGGACGCAAGUCUGACCGAGCAACGCCGCGUGAGUGAUGAAGUUCUUCGGAACGUAAAAUUCUUUUAUUUGGAAAAAACGUAUAGUGUAGGAAAUGACAUUAUAGUGAUGGUACCAAAUGAAUAAGCCCCGGCUAACUAUGUGCCAGCAGCCGCGGUAAUACAUAGGGGGCGAGCGUUAUCCGGAUUUAUUGGGCGUAAAGGGUGCGUAGGCGGUAGAUUAAGUCUAAGGUUAAAGUGCAGGGCUCAACCCUGUGAUGCCUUAGAAACUGGUUUACUUGAGUUUGGUAGAGGUAAGUGGAACUCCAUGUGUAGCGGUAAAAUGCGUAAAUAUAUGGAAGAACACCAGUGGCGAAGGCGGCUUACUGGGCCACAACUGACGCUGAGGCACGAAAGCGUGGGGAGCAAACAGGAUUAGAUACCCUGGUAGUCCACGCUGUAAACGAUGAAUACUAAGUGUUGGAAAAAUCCAGUGCUGAAGUUAACGCAUUAAGUAUUCCGCCUGAGUAGUACGUACGCAAGUAUGAAACUCAAAGGAAUUGACGGGACCCCGCACAAGCGGUGGAGCAUGUUGUUUAAUUCGAAGAUACGCGAAGAACCUUACCAGGUCUUGACAUCCGUUGCAAAGCUAUAGAGAUAUAGUGGAGGUUAACAGCGAGACAGGUGGUGCAUGGUUGUCGUCAGCUCGUGUCGUGAGAUGUUGGGUUAAGUCCCGCAACGAGCGCAACCCUUGUUGCUAGUUACCAUCAUUUAGUUGGGGACUCUAGCGAGACUGCCGGUGAUAAACCGGAGGAAGGUGGGGAUGACGUCAAAUCAUCAUGCCCCUUAUGACCUGGGCUACAAACGUGCUACAAUGGCCACUACAAUGAGAGCCGAUACCGCGAGGUGGAGGAAAACUGAUAAAAGUGGUCUCAGUUCGGAUUGAACUCUGCAACUCGAGUUCAUGAAGUUGGAAUCGCUAGUAAUCGUGAAUCAGAAUGUCACGGUGAAUACGUUCUCGGGGUUUGUACACACCGCCCGUCAAGCCAUGGGAGUUUGCAAUACCCAAAGCCGGUGGCCUAACCGCAAGGAGGGAGCCGUCUAAGGUAGGGCAAAUGACUGGGGUUAAGUCGUAACAAGGUA
RNAcentral lists this ribosomal RNA (1478 nucleotides) under uncultured bacterium. RNAcentral's name for it is "16S ribosomal RNA". It matches the Rfam family "Bacterial small subunit ribosomal RNA". The record is from RNAcentral.